UCACCGCUUACACGGGCAGUUUCUCUAGAGUCCCCGGCAUUACCCGCUGGCAACUAGAGAUAGGGGUUGCGCUCGUUAUGGAACUUAAUCCGACACCUCACGGCACGAGCUGACGACAGCCAUGCAGCACCUAGUUUUGUGUCCUUGCGGAAAGUCCCCUUUCAGGGACGGUCACUAACUUUCAAGCCCAGGUAAGGUUCCUCGCGUAUCAUCGAAUUAAACCACAUGCUCCACUGCUUGUGCAGGUCCCCGUCAAUUCCUUUGAGUUUUAAUCUUGCGACCGUACUCCCCAGGCGGUCAACUUCACGCGUUAGCUGCGGUACUGAGAAAUCGCUUCCCCAACACCUAGUUGACAUCGUUUAGGGCGUGGACUAC
Molecule: unclassified non-coding RNA, 375 nt
Filed under: uncultured Flavobacteriales bacterium
Lineage: Bacteria; Pseudomonadati; Bacteroidota; Flavobacteriia; Flavobacteriales
Description: contains 16S-23S intergenic spacer region
Source: RNAcentral